GCCAUGUUGGUAAUUGGAUAGUUGUCCCCUGAAAUUCCUCUCUGGUGGAGAAAGACUUGAGAGUACCUCUUUGCAGACAUCCGCUGCCCCAUGCCAAGGGCGUGGGACGCUGACCUCUGAUGCCAGAGUCUUGACAGGGCCAGGGUGUGCCUGGGGGGGCCUCUCAGAGCCCCAGUUGCUCUUCAGUCCCUUCUCUUGGAGUCCUCUUCCCAGUGUAAUGCCGCACACCCUCUCAGGACUCUGCCAGCAACAGCCCAUCACCCUGCCGUGGCUGCUGCUUGCUGAGGACUGGUCAUGGACCAGGCAUUGGGAGGGACCCAUUAUGUACGUAGCUGAAUCCUCUCAACAGUCCUGAAAGGAAGGGAGUUAGAACUCCAUUCUAUAAAGGAGGAAACUAAGGUUUCCAAAGAUCCACAGCCAGUGGUGAGGAGGGGAUCCUUGCCCAGGAAGGCAAAUGGACCAUCUCCAUGCUGCUCUUUCACUGCCCAUGGAAGCCUAUGAACUAAGGCCUUGAGGCAGGAGCACAACUUUGUUAGCAUUUGUGGAAGACUAAAGAAAGCUGAAAAUUCUCUCACACUGCUUCCAUCAAGAGGAAGAGGAAGAAAUACCAAGGGGAAGAGUGCAGAAAAGGAAGGUCAUGUGAAGACACAGGAGGAAGACGGCCAUAUACGAGCCAGGGAGAGUGGCCUCAGAAGACAACAACCCUGCUGACACCUUACUCUUGGACUUCCGCCUUCCAGAACUGUGAGACAACAAAUUCUGUUAAGACGCCCACUCUGUGGUACUUCGUUAUGGCAUCCUGAGCAGACCAGUACAGUGAUCUACCGCUAGUUACUUCCGGUCGUUGGUGGCAGAGCUGAGACUGGAUCCCAGGAGUUCCGGCUCCUGGCUCACUUCCUGCUGCUUCAGGCCACUUUCCCUCCUGCUUGACUGUGGUGCAGUGGUUAUGGAUUCCCUGGAUUCUAAUCUCAGGCUCCAUCAAUCUCUAGCUAUGCAAUCUUGGCAAGUUACUUGUAUUUACACAGGAUGCUUGUAAUUAUAGUAUCUUCCCAUGCUGCAGUGCGGAUCAAAUGAGUUACCACGCAGGAGGUGCUCGGAGUGGAGUAAUUGGUCAGUGAAUCUCAGGUAUUGCUUCCCAACUCUGUAGCCCAGACUGAGAGAGAACAAAGGGAGUUUUCUAGCGAAACCCCUGAGAGCCUUCUCCUGAAUGUCGACAGCUUAAAAAAUAAAUAAAGGGAAGGGGAAAAUGAGGUACAAGAUCACCAAUGCAAAAACUGCACACAAAGGAGAGAGUCUCUUUCCUCGUGGAAAGUGUUAAAUGUUGCAGCAAAAUCUCUCUGCUACAUCAGCUAUAGAAUCUGUAAUCAUUUGCAAAGCAGAAACUAUUAUUCAUCAAUGUCGCUGUCAUCAAAUAAAAUGUAAGUGCCUACAGAGACACAGUGUGGUCUAAGGAGGCUUGCAAACAACCUGUAAUUGGUAC
This 1480-nucleotide long non-coding RNA is filed under the name Equus caballus (horse). RNAcentral describes it as "lncRNA (ENSECAG00000054724.1)". The record is from RNAcentral. Lineage: Eukaryota; Metazoa; Chordata; Mammalia; Perissodactyla; Equidae.